UACGGGGGGGGCUAGCGUUGUCCGGAUUUACUGGGCGUAAAGAGCGCGUAGGCGGUCUGUUAAGUGUGAAGUGAAAUCUCAGGGCUCAACCCUGAAACUGCUUCGCAUACUGGCAGACUUGAGGGAUGGAGAGGUUUGUGGAAUUCCUGGUGUAGCGGUGAAAUGCAUUGAUAUCAGGAGGAACACCCAUGGCGAAGGCAGCAAACUGGCCAUCAUCUGACGCUGAGGCGCGAAAGCGUGGGUAGCAAACAGG
This 253-nucleotide ribosomal RNA is filed under the name uncultured bacterium. Its description in RNAcentral is "partial 16S ribosomal RNA". It matches the Rfam family "Bacterial small subunit ribosomal RNA", at positions 524 to 776 of the family's 1533-position model. The record is from RNAcentral.